UUGUAAUUGAAGAGUAAGAUUACUAAUAACACCUAAGUUAGUCACUUAUAUUACAACAAAGGAAACCAACCAAGUUUAAGCAAAUUAAUUAAUAAAUAAAUAAAUUAAUUAAAAAAAAAAAAAACCCUCCCCAAACCCACGGUCAACACCCACCUCUUUCCCCCUACACUAAUUUCCCUUAAUUGAACCACCAUUAAUCACCUACCAUCUCCCCUUAUCUCCUACUUGUCCCCUCUCCUAGCUUCCUAUCAACAAAACCACCAAUCACCAUCCUUCCACCUUCAACCUUUGUUCCAAAAAUCUGUCCAUAAAUACACAGAAGAAAUGAGUUUCAAUUACAAACUUAAAACCACAAGAAUUCACAAAAAAAUUCUUCUCUCUCUCUCCUCUGUUUCGACCCCCCACAACCGACCACCGUCGGCCACCGCGCGCGCCACCUGCGCCGCGCUCUGUCGCGUCUUCACCCCGCUGUCGUUCGCCGACCACCGUGCAGCUCGCCGGCGACCCACGUCGCAGCCCGUCGCUGCUUCCUCUCUCUCUCACUCUCGCUCGCACGCUCCUCUGUUUCGCGUGCUGUUGCUGCUCCUGUCGUUCCGCCGCCGUCGGAGCUCCGGAGAUCUACGGUCGUCGCUGUUCUGUUUCCACCGCCGACAUCCCGCGCCGUCAUCUGCGCCGCUCGCCGGAGUUCGCCCGACCUGCGUUUUCGUCCCUGCUCAAGAGAGCAGAGAUUAAGGAAGAUAAAGGAUAUUACAAGCCUCCCCCGGCUAUCAAGGUUAUUAAGCAGGAAUUCAGGUACCGAUGGUGAUAACGGGAUGGCGUAGCAGUGAGGAUUUAAUUAAUAUCUAGAUUAUCUAGACUCUCAUGGUUUUAAUUUAAGUUUAUGUCAAAACUCUGAUUAGUAACUAAGUUUCUAUUAAUCAAGACUAAUGUUGGAUCUAUAUUAUGCUUCAUGUUAUAAAAUGUUUAAGUUUAUGAUUUA
Beta vulgaris subsp. vulgaris (sugar beet) is the source of this 979-nucleotide long non-coding RNA. RefSeq lists it as uncharacterized. NCBI's taxonomy places the organism in Eukaryota, Viridiplantae, Streptophyta, Magnoliopsida, Caryophyllales, Amaranthaceae. The record is from RefSeq and is a predicted model, not a curated record. The transcript has 3 exons.